This 472-nucleotide ribosomal RNA is filed under the name uncultured bacterium. Its description in RNAcentral is "partial 16S ribosomal RNA". It matches the Rfam family "Bacterial small subunit ribosomal RNA", at positions 28 to 507 of the family's 1533-position model. The record is from RNAcentral.
GACGAACGCUGGCGGCGUGCUUAACACAUGCAAGUCGAACGAUGAACCCGGAGCUUGCUCUGGGGGAUUAGUGGCGAACGGGUGAGUAACACGUGAGUAACCUGCCCUGGACUCUGGGAUAAGCGUUGGAAACGACGUCUAAUACCGGAUAGGACCUUGGAUCGCAUGAUCUGGGGUGGAAAGUUUUUUCGGUCUGGGAUGGACUCGCGGCCUAUCAGCUUAUUGGUGAGGUAAUGGCUCACCAAGGCGUCGACGGGUAGCCGGCCUGAGAGGGUGACCGGCCACACUGGGACUGAGACACGGCCCAGACUCCUACGGGAGGCAGCAGUGGGGAAUAUUGCACAAUGGGCGAAAGCCUGAUGCAGCAACGCCGCGUGCGGGAUGACGGCCUUCGGGUUGUAAACCGCUUUUAGUAGGGAAGAAGGGCUUCGGCUUGACGGUACCUGCAGAAAAAGGACCGGCUAACUACGUG